RNAcentral lists this ribosomal RNA (400 nucleotides) under uncultured bacterium. Its description in RNAcentral is "bacterial SSU rRNA". It matches the Rfam family "Bacterial small subunit ribosomal RNA", at positions 355 to 748 of the family's 1533-position model. The record is from RNAcentral.
UCGAGAAUCUUUCACAAUGGGGGCAACCCUGAUGGAGUGACGCCGCGUGGAGGAUAAGGUUUUCGGAUUUUAAACUCCUGUCAUGCAUGAACAAUGUUUGCAGCUUAACGGCGCGCAUUUUUGAUGGUAGUGCAAAAGGAAGAGGCGGCAAACUCUGUGCCAGCAGCCGCGGUAAUACAGAGGCCUCAAGCGUUGUUCGGAAUUAUUGGGCGUAAAGGGCGCGUAGGCUGCCGGUUAAGUUUUGUGUGAAAUAUCGGAGCUCAACUCCGCUGCUGCACAAAAUACUGGCUGGCUUGAGUUCCAAAGAGGAGACUAGAAUUCACGGAGUAGCAGUGAAAUGCGUAGAGAUCGUGAGGAAUACCAAUUGCGAAGGCAGGUCUCUGGUGGGUUACUGACGCUG